This 71-nucleotide transfer RNA is filed under the name Loxodonta africana (African savanna elephant). It matches the Rfam family "tRNA". From Rfam's summary of the family: Transfer RNA (tRNA) molecules are approximately 80 nucleotides in length. Their secondary structure includes four short double-helical elements and three loops (D, anti-codon, and T loops). Lineage: Eukaryota; Metazoa; Chordata; Mammalia; Proboscidea; Elephantidae. The record is from Rfam by way of RNAcentral.
GCAGUAGUAGUUCAGUAGUAGAAUUCUCGCCUUCCACGCUGGAGACCUAAGUUUGAUUCCCAGCUAAUGCG